Molecule: long non-coding RNA, 2567 nt
Organism: Heterocephalus glaber (naked mole-rat)
Lineage: Eukaryota; Metazoa; Chordata; Mammalia; Rodentia; Bathyergidae
Source: Ensembl
UAUAAAGAAUUUUCUGACUGUUUUGUUCUAGAAAAUUUGAAGAUGAGACUCUUUGGGUGAUAGUAGGAAUUAUAAAAUUUAAUAUGUCCUGUUUUGUGAAAAAUAAUGAAGCAGGGAUUAAUUAUCACUGAUGUUAUUUUGGCAAAGUUCCAUUCCAGGGCAAUAAAAAUGAAGGAGAGGAGGAAAGGUCAGGAAAGAAAGCAAAGAAUGGAAUUCUGAAACAAUGGGAGCCACAGUUUCACAAUGAGUCACAAAGAGACAGACACAAUAACCAUUUCUUGAGCAGGAAGUGUAUCAGUAGGAAGCACAAGGAAUUUAUCUACCGAGAUCCCAUCUAUUCUUCCCUGCUUGCUGAAAACCUACCUGUUUUUAAAGUUUGUGUCACAGAGAUGAAACUGUUCUGUACUUCCAGGUUGUAUCAUCCAGUGUAGAAUUUUCCUGGAGUGAAGAAUUUACAGAAGAAGGGGCUAGAGACUAUAAGAGUGAUUGGUUGAGCUCAGAGCAUACAUGUAGUUUACCGGCUGGAGUCAGAACAAGUAGUUGAAGAUCUAAGUAGAAGUUGAACUUGAGAAAAACUGUGGAGUACAACAGAUGGUCUCACAAACGAUGCAUCUAAGAUCACCUAUCAGGAAGAUACACGGGGAAAGAAGAAAGGCCAUAUGAGGAUACAGCAAGAAGGUAGCCAUACACAAGCUAGGAAGAGUCCUCUCCAGAAUACAAACCAGCCAGUGCGUCAGUCUAAGAUGUGCCAGCUUCCAAAACCAUGGGCAAGCUUUUACAUUCCUCUCAUGACCAGAAAGAGGAGGCAUAUGCUUGGGCUUUUUUGUUUGUUUUCCUUCUCAUGUAUUCCUGAAUCUUGCUGGCUUCUUCAUCUGUAUGUCUAGGUAUAUAAGGCAAAAGGAAUGUCUUCAUGCUGUGCAUAGAAUAUUCGGGUCCCUCCAGAACUCUUACAUUGAUAUCUUUACAUCACAACAAUGGAGCCCUCAUGAAUAGGCUUAGUGCUUUUCUACUUCUAUGAGUUUGUCCCCAUUCUACCACAUAAGUUUACAGCAAGAAGAAAGUCAUCAGAGAGAAAACUCAUCUUCAACAGACAUCAAAUUUUCUAUUUUAGUCCUAGUCUCCAAAACUGUGAGAAAUGAAUUUCUGUUGUUUAUAAGCCCUUCGGUUUAUGAUAUUUUGUCAUAGUACACCUUAGGGGCAAAAACAUUAUCUAAUUUAGUCACAUAAAAUCAGUUUCCAAGUCAGAAAUACCAGAUCAGGUGUGACUAUUUAUCAUACCACAGAUCCAACUGUUCACCAAGUCUAGCUGAUUUCCUUUUAAAGCAUCUUUGUACUUCUGCUACCACCUCUGUUGAGAUGGGGCAUGUAGUAUCUCUCGACCAGCAGCACUUUUUUUUCUUCUUCAGCAAUAGAUACCUAUUUAUUUGAGAUUGUUAUGUGGUUGUAUUUUACUGAUUGCUUAGCUUCUCAUGAAAACCUGUGUGUAUGUCCUAGCCUCUUUGACAAGUAAGUAAAAUCAAAUUCUUGAAGCUAAAUUAUUGACUAGUAAGAUACAACUAGAAAUGAUAUGAGUAAUUUGGGAAUGUGUUCUUAAGAAGGACAUGAUGUGCUUUUCUCAUAUUAUUUUUUUUUUUGACCAUUUAGAGUAUAGAUGUGAAGGAUGGAAAUAGAAUAAUCAUUUUGAAUCAUAACUUCAUUGCCCAAAGUUGAGAAUGAUAAAGCAAUGAUAUAGAAAAAACAUUUACACCCUUGUCAACUGAGAAACUAUUUUGAUAACCCUAAAUUGAUAAUAUCCAUAUUUCCUUUUAUUUAAAAUAUGUUAUGUUGAGUCUUAUCAUUUGCAGUUGAGUAAAAUCAUAAAAAUCAUAACCUGUUAACUGCUUUCUUUCCUGACUUUAUUUCUCUGUAGAAGAAAUGGUGCUGUAGACCAUCCUUUCCGAAACAUAAGCAUCAUCAUGAUGUUCUUGUAUUUAACACCUACCACUUACAGAAAAGUCAGAAUUAUUACCAAAGUUGUAAAGGUCCAUCAUAUUUUAAUAUUCAGGUCCUUUGACAUUCUAGCACACACUACAGCAUGCCUAUACCCUAUCUUUUAGCUACCCCGAAAUACUUGUUUCCUAAACAUACUAUGCUGCUCAUUUCCACCACAUCUUAAACUGUAGCAAGAUGAUCCUAUGAAGAUCUAAGUUAGAGUCUGUCAUUCUUCAGUUUAGAAAUCUCCAGUGAUCCCUUCUCUCACUAAGAGUAAAAAUCAAAGUACUCACAAAAGCCUUUACCUGAAGCCUUACUGAUUUAUGACUCCUUUAUAUCUCCUUCAGCUCUCCUGAUUAGUCUGUUCUAGGUCUUCAUUGCCAUCUUUGGAAUCUGUCAUAUGCUUCAACUUCAAGGACUUUUUAAGUUUUAAAGUUUUUUUUUUCACCUGGAAUGCUGUUUCUUAGUUGUUUUUUUUUCUCAAAUCAGUUUUUCAAUGAGAUUUUCUUUGGCCGUCCCAUCUAUAAUUAUGAUCUCUUUUUCCUUGAACCAAUUCAAACACUCUUUUUUUUAAAUGCAUAACUUUAUUAUCAAAC